This 79-nucleotide non-coding RNA is filed under the name Desulfobacca acetoxidans. RNAcentral describes it as "c-di-GMP sequence". It matches the Rfam family "c-di-GMP-I riboswitch aptamer". Rfam says of the family: GEMM was predicted in a large-scale screen for bacterial structured RNA regulatory elements. Lineage: Bacteria; Pseudomonadati; Thermodesulfobacteriota; Desulfobaccia; Desulfobaccales; Desulfobaccaceae. The record is from RNAcentral. RNAcentral also lists the same sequence under 1 other name.
CCCUGAUAAAGCCACACACCGGGCGACCGGGGGCCGGAAAGCUACGGGUCUCACCAGAGACAGCCUUGUAGCUGCCAGG